RNAcentral lists this microRNA precursor (84 nucleotides) under Bombyx mori (domestic silkworm). RNAcentral describes it as "mir-2807 microRNA precursor family". It matches the Rfam family "mir-2807 microRNA precursor family". Lineage: Eukaryota; Metazoa; Arthropoda; Insecta; Lepidoptera; Bombycidae. The record is from Rfam by way of RNAcentral.
UUAGCUUAUAUUUGUAUGGAAUGGGAUCGUUUGCGUACGUUUGCCGCUAGGGGCGCUGUUCCAACUGCAUACAAAAUUUGAUUA